This 459-nucleotide ribosomal RNA is filed under the name Megophrys synoria. Its description in RNAcentral is "partial 16S ribosomal RNA". It matches the Rfam family "Bacterial large subunit ribosomal RNA", at positions 1981 to 2617 of the family's 2925-position model. Lineage: Eukaryota; Metazoa; Chordata; Amphibia; Anura; Megophryidae. The record is from RNAcentral.
UAUAGACUGUAUGAAUGGCUUCCGAGAAUUCAACUGUCUCCUUUGUCUAAUCAGUGAAACUGAUCCCCUCGUGCAGAAACGAGGAUAGUAUCAUAAGACGAGAAGACCCUAUGGAGCUUUAAACUCAUAUCAACAAGUUCACUCCUUAAAAAUUAAUACUAAUUUAACUUGCUCGAUUAAAGUUUUAGGUUGGGGCGACCAUGGAGAAAAAAUAAUCCUCCACGAUGAUUUUAACUAAGAGCUACAGCUCUAAGUAUUAAGACACUUAACUCAUAUUGACCCAUUUUUUGAUCAACGAACUAAGUUACCCUAGGGAUAACAGCGCAAUCCAUUUUAAGAGUCCCUAUCGACAAAUGGGUUUACGACCUCGAUGUUGGAUCAGGGCACCCAAGUGGUGCAACCGCUACUAAAGGUUCGUUUGUUCAACGAUUAAAGCCCUACGUGAUCUGAGUUCAGAAC